GUGUUUUGGGGUCCCUGUUGUAACGGAGCUCCCAGUACUCCGACCGAGUACCCUCCGUUGAUGGACGCUUCCUAGCUUGCGCCGAGGACCACAAGCACCACACCAGAUACCACAACCACUGCAGACUCCGCAACCGCCGUAGCUUGACUGGAUCAGCUUCUGUCCUCCAGGACCGUGUGGGAAAGACCUCUUCCUUCCACUCUGUAUGAACUUCCAGCAUCCAGGACUGUGUGGGGAAGACCUCUCCUCCAAGGAGAGCGUAACAGGAGCAGCUCUUAAAAGAGCUAAGUGAUUAAGGCUCAAGGGAGUAUGCAGAGCAUAGCAUAGCUGGUGAUUUC
Pelobates cultripes (western spadefoot toad) is the source of this 338-nucleotide non-coding RNA. NCBI's taxonomy places the organism in Eukaryota, Metazoa, Chordata, Amphibia, Anura, Pelobatidae. The record is from the annotation of a GenBank genome assembly.